Molecule: ribosomal RNA, 247 nt
Filed under: uncultured bacterium
Lineage: Bacteria
Description: partial 16S ribosomal RNA
Rfam family: Bacterial small subunit ribosomal RNA
Source: RNAcentral
UGGGUAACCUGCCUCAAAGAGGGGAAUAGCCUCCCCGAAAAGGGGAGAUUAAUACCGCAUAAUAUGUUUAGGUCGCAUGACUUUAACAUCAAAGGAUUUUUCUUUUAAGAAAUUCCACUUUGAGAUGGACCCCGCGGCGCAUUAGCUAGUUGGUGAGGUAACGGCUCACCAAGGCAAUGAUGCGUAGCCGACCUGAGAGGUGAUCGGCCACAUUGGAACUGAGACACGGUCCAGACCUGUACGGGAG